AGCUCUCUCUGGUUGGCUUGGUGCCCAAGAGCACCAUGGGAAAGACCUUGGCAGUUGGGAUUCAAGUACUGACAGUUGUAACUGAUGGGCUAAGCUUGGGACUUUACUGAUGAGUCAAGUUCCUGAGGGAACAAAGCAACCAAAGUGGUGAAUCCUAAUGGCAAAGGAGAUGGACCUAAUAAAUUCUCACUCAUAUGGAUAGAAGACACAUGAACAAAUGAACAGGACAUAUUCAUGAACUGUGCUUGCUGCUGAGGGGCAGUGCAGGCUUGUGACAGACACAGCGUCCUUCAUGCUGAAGUGGCCUGAUUUACAGAGGGGCUUCACCCCCACCUGCAUAGUACAGGGCAGAAAAGAAACUCCUUUUGGCAGAGAAGAGUGGGAUAGGAGGAGGUGGCCAUGAAGCCUGAAGCAGAAAGACACAGAUACCCAGAGAGUGAAACACCACAUGUUGCUGGUGACUAGUCCUCAUGGAUCCACAGGAGAAGAGGUGACAGACAGGCUGCACUUGUCUCAAGACAACACUUCCUCUUGGAGACUCAGCCUCCUCUGAGUUAGAAGGCAGGCUUCAUGAGAGUCCCUCCUCUGGGGGACUCACGGACACAGGCAUGCCUUCUUCAGCCACACAUUUGUGAAGACGAGUGUUUGAGAAAAUCACCACGUAGCCGUCAGUUCACUUGAGAAGGCUAGCCCAGACUUGUUCAUUUGACAAGGCUAGCCCAGACUGGGAUCCAGAGAGAGUCUUUGCUGAAUGCCUGCUUCUACAGUAGGAGCACCUGUGGAAUGUCUGCACUUUAGAGCUGCCAGCCCGGUACCAUUUUUGAACUCUGCUGGGUAUGAGGGGAUGUUGACCUUGGCUGUUCGGCUAUACAGUGUCACCGAGGAGCCUUGAGUGAGGGUAUGCUAUAUAGUUCCUUAAAUUGAAGGCGCUGGCUCCCUGGAACUGCCGACCCCUUUCAUUUUCUUCUCACCUUUGUCGUUUCUCAUCCACUGCUUGUAUUCGCCUGCCAUCUUCAUGUCAGUUAUGGCUGAAUUAUAAUUGAAAGUGUGUAUAUAAUGUGCAUAAUUAUAUACACAAUUAUAGUAAGGUUAGUUUGAAAUUAUACAGUUUAUUGUGAAGUAUAAAUAUCCACCUGAAAAACUCCAUUUUUAUCUUGUGAUGUAAAGGGAUGCUUCUGUUCUGCGGAGAGAACUUUGAACAAGUCAGUGUCAGCUGACAUUUUAAAUUAACAGCUUACAGACCCUUCCAAAAACCAGGACUGCUUCUCUGGUUCUCCAGGACACCGAUUCGGCGCUUUAUGCUAGGAGAUGAAUGUAGAGAGGUCCCCUCUAGUCCCUCCAAUGGUGACAGGAAACCAGUAACACGUGUUAAGUGCCUACCAUGGUCCAGCCACUGUGAUCAUAGGAGAACAGUAAGUAUAGUUCUGUGACCAUUUCACAGAGCAAGAAACUUAGGUGUGAGAGCAGUGUGCAUGCCCACAAGCCAACCUCAUCUGGAUAAUACUUCACUGAGGCUUUCUUCCCAGCUGAUUCUAGAUUGAGUCAAAUUGACAAAACCACCACAACCAUCUUCCAGAACAUUCUUUCUUAAAGCCAUACUACUACUACUACUACUACUACUACUACUACUACUACUACUACUAUAUUGGGGCAGUGAGCAGUAAAGAUUUAUGUGUUCCAAGUGCAAAAAUACUAAUAAACUGGAGGUAAUGAGAGGUCUUGAUGUAAACAGACUAUCUUAGUUAGGGUUUCCAUUGCUGAGAAGAGGCACCAUGACCAAAGCAACUCUUAUAAAGGACAACAUUUAAUCAGGGCUGGCUUACAGGUUCAGAGGUUCAGUCCAAUAUCAUCAUAGCAAGAAGCAUGGCAGCAUGCAGGCAGGCAUGGUGCUGGUGGAGCCAAGAAUUCUUCAUCUUGAUCCACUGGCAGCAGGAAGUACUGUGUUCUACACUAGGUGGAGCUUGAGCAUGAGACCUCAAAGCUCACUUCCACAGUGCCACACCUCUAACAAGGCCACACCUCCUAAUAGGGCCACUUCUCAUGUGUCAAACAUUCAAAUGCAUGAGUCUUUGGAGGCUAAACCUAUUCAAACCACCACACAGACUAAACAUUUCCCCAAUAGUAUCCUUUUAUGUAGUAGCAAGGAUUAGAAAACAUUUUCAGCUGAAAGGAACAGUCAUGCCUAUGUUCAUAAUUAAAAAUAAAAAGGAGGCAAUGGUCUACACAGUUCUGGGACAGCCAGGGCUAUGUGGAGAGGCUGUCUCAAGAAGGCACCCCCCCCCCCAUGCACACAAAAAAAGGGCAAGGUGGACUUUUCUUUCUGGUUUGGGCUCACCACCAAGCCUGAUCUCCCAGGAGCAAAAAGUUUGUUGUCCUUGGAAGCACGCCAUCUGAUAUACAGUGUUCUCUGAGUUCCUGGGCUGUGGGUCCUGGAAGUUCUUGGUUGCAUUAGUGACUAAUUGAUAUGUUGACUUCAACCGUUUCGGCAGGAUAAAACAGAAGGCUGAUUAUUUCUGCUGAGUCAAGCCAGAAAUUUAACCACUCUUUGAUCUCUCCCUGCAAGGGAAACAACACAGUAUAGGACCUUAUCACAAUUUUAUUAUCAAAUGUAGGAUAAAUUUGAUGCUUAUUUCAUUGUAAUCUGAUAUUUGACAUUACUGUUUAUGUGGCCACAAUUCUGUUUUAUAGAUCAUUCACAAGGUAUUCAAAAUUUGGAUUGGGGGCUGGAAAGAUGACUCAACAUUUAAGAACACUGUUUAUUCUUCCAGAGGACCCAGGUUCAAUUCCCAGCACCCAUAUAGUGACCCACAACUGUUACUCUAGUUCCAGCAGAGCUGACACCCUCUUCUGGUCUCCGCAUGUACCAGGCACACAAGUGGUACUCACACGUGUAGGCAAAACAUUCAUACACAUAAAAAAAAAAAACCCAAAUAUUUAUCUGGGCAUGUUGAUACAUUUAAUCUUGAGUUCACAGCCAGUCUAGUCUACAUAUCUAGUUCUAGGCCAACCUAGGACUGCACACUAAGACCUUGGGAUUGCCAUGAGUAGGCCAGAAAAAUAUAACAGUAUGAGAGGUGGGAGAGAGAGAGAGACCCAGAGAGAGAGAGAGAGAGAAAGAGAGAGAGAGAGAGAGAGAGAGGUGGUAGAUAGCUUCCUAAAUUAGAAAAUGCUGGUUGGUUUCUCUCAUCCAAACACCAUCCCAAACCAACCAACUAAAGAAUGAAUACACAGGUCCUGCUCAGGUAGCCACACCUGCUGUAUGGCUCCAAUUUGCCAUGUCAAGUCUGAAAGCAUUGGUCUCCAUCUUCCAGCGUGCAUAACCAAUCUUCCUACCCCAGUUCUAAAUGCUCCCUGGGUUGUGUACUCAGUACUCUAUACCCUGUUAUGACUCUGUAUUGACUAGUCUCUCUCUCUCUCUCUCUCACACACACACACACAAUCUUCUGUUGAAGGUUGAUAGAAGCCCUAGUCUAAGGGCAUCCAUAAACAUUUAGAAGGCAGUCUGACUACACGUCUGUUUAGCAAAAAUCCAUUAAUACAUUUUACUUGAAAAUGCAUUAAUACAGAACACAUAAAAAUAUACUAGUGCAAAGAUAUAGCAAUCCUUUUCCUCUCUAAGAGCUGUGUCUCUCCAGCUAUAAGCUUUGGCCCAGUUACACAGUGCCGGACACGAAUGCCUUCCCAUGGAGCAGGCCUCAGAAGCAACCAGAAAGUGAUAGUUUUCCCACCCAGCAGUCUUGCCACAUUGCAACUGUGACCGUAUCUCACCUGGAAGGUCAGUAUUUGUCUUGGUUGUUUCUCUAUUGUGGUGAGACACAUGACCAAGGCCACUUAUAAAAGAAAGCCUUUACUCUGGGGCUAGCUUACCAUCUUAGAGGGUGAGUCCACGGCCAGCAUGAUGGUAAGCAUGGCGGCAGACAACUUGGCCCGUGAGCAGCAGCUGAGAGCUUACAUCUUGACCCAUAAAUUGGAGGUAGAGAGCAAGAGAGACUGGGCCUUGUGUGGGAUUUUGCCCUCCCUCCCUCCCCACCAGUGAUACACCUCCAACAAGGCCACACAGUUUCUAAUCCUUUCUAAACAGUCUACCAACUGGGGACCAAGUCAUCCAUAUACACGAGAGCCAUUCUCAUUAAACUCCCCACAGGUAUUGUAGCACUCAGGGUGCAUGCAUUUUUCACCAGCUGGCUGCCCAGGGCUUUCCCACACUGUGGAAUCUGGCCAGCAGGGAGUAGAAGUCCAGCUCCAUUCUUCUGUGUGUGGUGUCUUCAGCAUCUGGCAGGCAGGCAGGAGCAACGGCAAUAGCCUGUACUGCUAGGGAGACAUCUGGGCCUGCCUGGGGCAUUCUUUACAAGUGAUAAAUGUGAAGUACGCAUUAAAAUAGCAUAGGUGUUUUAAUGUUUCUAGUGGUGCUGGAGACACAGAGUAUGCUGAGGGGCCAGUGCAGGCUUCCUGUCUAAAGACCACAUCAAAGAUCUUCCUCCACAGAGCCUCAGGUGUUGAGUGGAGCAAUGUUAGUCAUCAGAGUUGUGACCAUAUUGUGGGAUUUGUUUCUAGCAUUUUUGUUUUAUCAUUUACAACAAAACAAAAGAGGACCCCUCCAGUGUCUCUGCAUUUGGAAAGAUUAGACUUGCAACAGCAGGUUUUCCCACAAUGGUGACUAAAGCGGGACCCUACCCCCACCCCAGCUUGAGUUAUUUAUAUUCAUUAAAAUGUGGGCAGUGGCCGGGCAGCUUUCCCAUCCUGGUCAUGGUGGCAGGGCUUCUCUCCUGUGUGGAGGUGCUGGUGUGUGCUGCUGUCUGUUGACUAAGGCUCUUCUAUGUUCCCAGAGACUCUCUCUCUCGAGUGGAGAUGUCCGGGUGAGCUGGGUCUGGUGUGGCCUCUCAUAUUUGGUGCCCUGAGCAGGAAUUCUUCCUGGUGUGCAUUUCCCUGAUGUUCUUUUCUCACCAAGAAAUAAAUGAAGGCUUGUCAAUCCCAGAUGCAAGUUUCAGAGCAUUCUGCCCUCAAGCCCAGAGGCCACCCAUCAGACACUCGUGUAUGUGGCUGAUGAGGGAACACCGGCUGUGCUCAGAAAUAAGUGCAUGCACAUACCAGGCUCAGGGUGUCAAGGAUACGAUGGCAGUGAUGGCAAAAGCUUCACAAGCACUUCUCCCUCCACGCAUCUCUGCCUGAAUUCCUUCUCUGUUUCACACAGAACUUCCAGCUCUAGGCCCUGCAGCAUGCAUGCCCGUGGAGGCUACUUCGUCUUUGCUUUAUGACAUAGGCAUAGUCAGAAACCCACUUCGUCCUGGUGUACUUAGCAAAGCAACACACUUAUCUCAAAGCAUGGUUUAGGCCAGCACAAGAGCCUUGAACAUAUCGUACAAAGGAAGACAGUUUAAAUCUUGUUAGCUUCAGGAUAAGUGUGCCUGUGAUUAUUCACACUCCCAACACAAGAGUCAACUUUUCACUGCAUGUAGGUGAUGCUUCAACACACUGAAUAAGACCAUAGUUAUACAUAAACGCUACACAAUUCUAAAAUAUGUAUCUAGACUUCAAUAAAAAAUAUUUU
Long non-coding RNA from Mastomys coucha (southern multimammate mouse), 5548 nucleotides. RefSeq lists it as uncharacterized. The record is from RefSeq and is a predicted model, not a curated record. Lineage: Eukaryota; Metazoa; Chordata; Mammalia; Rodentia; Muridae. The transcript is spliced from 6 exons.